This 429-nucleotide ribosomal RNA is filed under the name uncultured bacterium. Its description in RNAcentral is "bacterial SSU rRNA". It matches the Rfam family "Bacterial small subunit ribosomal RNA", at positions 355 to 776 of the family's 1533-position model. The record is from RNAcentral.
UGGGGAAUAUUGCGCAAUGGGGGAAACCCUGACGCAGCAACGCCGCGUGAAGGAUGAAGGCUUUCGGGUCGUAAACUUCUGUCAAGAGGGAAGAAUAAGGGGCGGCUAAUACCCGUGCCCUUUGACGGUACCUCUAAAGGAAGCCCCGGCUAACUCCGUGCCAGCAGCCGCGGUAAUACGGAGGGGGCAAGCGUUGUUCGGAUUUACUGGGCGUAAAGGGCGCGUAGGCGGUCCGGUUAGUCGGUUGUGAAAGCCCUCGGCUUAACCGAGGAAUGGCGAUCGAUACUGCCGGACUAGAGUACGGGAGGGGAGAGUGGAAUUCCCAGUGUAGCGGUGAAAUGCAUAGAUAUUGGGAAGAACACCGAUGGCGAAGGCAGCUCUCUGGACCGUUACUGACGCUGAGGUGCGAAAGCCAGGGGAGCGAACGGG